AGUGGCGGUGGCGGUAGCUUGCUGCAUGGAGGCUCGGCCUUCGCGACAGCGAGCGCAAUAGCAACGCAACCUUCGCGGCGACCUGCAUGGUCUUGCUGCAACAGAUCGGCCUGCUACAUGGACGGGCGAUGGCCUACUGCAUCGAUGGUGCGACCUUCCCCAACGGCGGCAUGCAGCCCUAUCAUGGGCCCCACCAGUAGACACGACUCGUUUCUUCUCAACGGGAAAGUUACGAUUUCUUACUGCAUCGAUUAACGAGUAGACCUGGUUUCUUGGUUAGGAGACGGUUUCCUCAAUUUUUUUUCUCUUUUUUUAUUAAUUAGACUGCCAUGUCAGCUUUUUGCUUAGUUGGCAAGAUAUUUAUUAGGGAUAGAAACUACUAUUAAUAUCCCAUUGUCCCAUUGGGACUGCCCUAAGGGACACAGAAUGCAGAAUGGCGCACUAGUACUACUUUCACUGCUGGUCCUUGGGUGCUUUUCCAUUCAAGUGGCAUGUAAGUGAAAUAAAUCAAAAUGUUUUUUCCUCCAUUAUCUCCUCAUUUAAUUGCUCGAGUAGCUGAUAUUUUUCCUCUACCAUUCAAACAAAAUACAAAUUGCUGAAGACAUAUAUGUUUCUUUCUGUUGUAAUUAAGAUAAACUAAACAAGGGCCCAUUAUAACUAUUGAUUUUAUGCUUAUGACAGAUGUUUCUGUGCUUGUGUAUGUAAUUUAACAGAUUGAUUCACAUUACAUGCUUGAAAAAUAGGUGGAACAACGAUGGAUGAAAUGAGUACCCAGAAAGUUACUAUACAAAAAUGGACGUGCUACCAUGGUGGCAUACUUUGCAAUUCAUUGACUGGGAAGUGCUGGUGCUGCCUCGGGGGUGAAGGUUAUUGCUAUGUGAACAAAAGUGAAUGUGAAGCAAAUUGUCAUGCCAAAUGAACAAUUAAAUCUCCAAAUAAUGCAAUUACUAUGUGAAGAGUGAGCUGUGAAUGAACAAUGGGAAUAAAAUGUUUAGGCUCCGAGUGC
Molecule: long non-coding RNA, 1006 nt
Filed under: Sorghum bicolor (sorghum)
Lineage: Eukaryota; Viridiplantae; Streptophyta; Magnoliopsida; Poales; Poaceae
Description: long non-coding RNA (SBIC_LNC016480)
Source: RNAcentral